This 253-nucleotide ribosomal RNA is filed under the name uncultured bacterium. RNAcentral describes it as "partial 16S ribosomal RNA". It matches the Rfam family "Bacterial small subunit ribosomal RNA", at positions 524 to 776 of the family's 1533-position model. The record is from RNAcentral.
UACGUAGGGGGCAAGCGUUGUCCGGAAUUAUUGGGCGUAAAGAGCUUGUAGGCGGUCUGUCGCGUCUGCUGUGAAAAUCCGGGGCUCAACCCCGGACUUGCAGUGGGUACGGGCAGACUAGAGUGUGGUAGGGGAGACUGGAAUUCCUGGUGUAGCGGUGAAAUGCGCAGAUAUCAGGAGGAACACCGAUGGCGAAGGCAGGUCUCUGGGCCACUACUGACGCUGAGAAGCGAAAGCAUGGGGAGCGAACAGG